This is a long non-coding RNA of Poecilia latipinna (sailfin molly), 1352 nucleotides long. RefSeq lists it as uncharacterized. The transcript is spliced from 2 exons. NCBI's taxonomy places the organism in Eukaryota, Metazoa, Chordata, Actinopteri, Cyprinodontiformes, Poeciliidae. The record is from RefSeq and is a predicted model, not a curated record.
UUUGCUAUCUGAAUGUAGCUGUACUGCUAAAUAUAUUUAAUAAUUUUUAAUAUUCAUCUUUUUAUCAUUAUGUCAAAGAUGCAAGCCAGUGUUGAAGCCUUCCUCAUUGGUGUGGAACCAGGACAGCCCUUCCUCCUGCGUUUGUGGAAACAAGAGCAGCAGCAAAGACACUUCACCAUUAGUGAUCACAAGAUCAUCCAAGGACUUGGUUUAUUACAGUCCCUGUGGCAAGCAGUUUUCUGCAUGGUCAGCAUUGAAGGCCAUAUUGUCUUUGAGAGGGUCCAGCCAACAUUCCAGACAGGACAGUAUUUUCCAUCUUCAACACCUUCAACACCCAAUAUCAACAUGAGGCAGCCAAGACUUUGGUUCAUUCAAUGGUAAAACCAUUCCUAUAAUUUUUUUUACAAUGAGCAAAAUACAAUGACAUGGUUUUAAAGUUUUAAAGCAAGUUAUGAUUAACAUUUGACAAAGGUGGUGAUGUUUCCUCUUUAUGUAAUUAAAAACAGCUUUAUUUAUAUAUUGUACCAGCUGUCUUCAGAAUGCCACACUAUUUAUAUUCUCAGGAAUUUUCCCAUUUUUGAUUGUGUUUCUUAGUCGCUUCAUUAGGAUUGACCCAGAAAGGGGCACAAAAGCCGGUCAUGGGAAAAUGGUAUCCAAAAAGCCAGGACUGACCAUUCAAAAGAAAAAGCAGACAGUGAAUGAGCAGGUUUCCACCCUCAUCAAAAACCUGAUGGACUUUGAGUGGCAUCUCAUUCAGGUUAGUUGUUGUCCUUCUCUUUUCUUUGAAAUAUUUCUGUUUCCAUAUCAUUUAGGAUCUAAAUUAUAUUGUCUUAUCUUUUUCCAUGUUGGACGGUGCCUUCAUCUGCAUCUAAUAAAGUAAGUGUCACUUGGACUCUUGAAAACCAUUAAUAGUUCACAUUUUAAAACCCUGUUGAUUCUAGAAUUCCACAAUAUUUCAGCCAUGUUGAAUUUUAGAUUUUGGAAGUUCUAUUUCUUUGAUUUGUUUAGUGAUACCCAAAGAAUGGAUAUUUGUUUAAGAACUGUGUUUUAUGUACUUAACAUUGUAGAAAUUAAUGAGUUAAACCCAGUUUAUGUCGCUGUAAACUGAAAGUCUUAAAUUUUUAUUCCAGUGUUACUUUCAUCACUGGUGGCCGACAGGUACAAACACCCAGCAAACACGAGAAAAACACAUGCAACAAAAAAGAGAUGCAAACAAAAGAUGCUAAAAAUAGAAGUGAUCCAGACCACUAGGGGGAGUCGAACAAAGAAUAAUUAUGUCCGAAGUCAGGUUUUGCAUCAUUGGGUCCUGGACGACCGGAAGAGAGAAGCUGUAGCUUUUUUUUUUUUUUUUU